Molecule: ribosomal RNA, 254 nt
Filed under: uncultured bacterium
Lineage: Bacteria
Description: partial 16S ribosomal RNA
Rfam family: Bacterial small subunit ribosomal RNA
Source: RNAcentral
UACGUAGGGUCCAAGCGUUGUCCGGAUUUAUUGGGCGUAAAGAGCUCGUAGGUGGUUCGGUAAGUCGGAUGUGAAAACUCGGGGCUCAACCCCGAGACGCCAUCCGAUACUGCUGUGACUUGAGUCUGGUAGGGGAGAUCGGAAUUCCUGGUGUAGCGGUGAAAUGCGCAGAUAUCAGGAGGAACACCGGUGGCGAAGGCGGAUCUCUGGGCCAGUACUGACGCUGAGGAGCGAAAGCGUGGGUAGCAAACAGG